Non-coding RNA from Salmo salar (Atlantic salmon), 54 nucleotides. Lineage: Eukaryota; Metazoa; Chordata; Actinopteri; Salmoniformes; Salmonidae. The record is from Rfam.
UGCACGCAUGACUGUAAGUCGCUUUGGAUAAAAGUGUGUGCUAAAUGGCAUAUA